AGAGUGAACGCUGGCGGUAGGCCUAACACAUGCAAGUCGAACGGCGGCACAGUAGGAGCUUGCUCUUACGGGUGGCGAGUGGCGGACGGGUGAGGAAUACAUCGGAAUCUACCUUUUGGUGGGGGAUAACGUAGGGAAACUUACGCUAAUACCGCAUACGCCCUUCGGGGGAAAGCCGGGACCAGCAAUGGCCUGGCGCUGAUAGAUGAGCCGAUGUCGGAUUAGCUAGUUGGUGAGGUAAUGGCUCACCAAGGCGACGAUCCGUAGCUGGUCUGAGAGGAUGAUCAGCCACACUGGAACUGAGACACGGUCCAGACUCCACGGGAGCAGCAGUGGGGAAUA
Molecule: ribosomal RNA, 342 nt
Filed under: uncultured soil bacterium
Lineage: Bacteria
Description: bacterial SSU rRNA
Rfam family: Bacterial small subunit ribosomal RNA
Source: RNAcentral